GGGAGCCGGAUGAGCCGAGAGGUUCACGUCCGGUUCUGAGAGGGCCUUGGGGUGAAAUUCCCCAGGGCUACUUACC
This is a non-coding RNA of Syntrophomonas wolfei subsp. wolfei, 76 nucleotides long. Lineage: Bacteria; Bacillati; Bacillota; Clostridia; Eubacteriales; Syntrophomonadaceae. The record is from Rfam.